AUUGAACGCUGGCGGCAGGCCUAACACAUGCAAGUCGAGCGGAUGAAGGGAGCUUGCUCCUGGAUUCAGCGGCGGACGGGUGAGUAAUGCCUAGGAAUCUGCCUGGUAGUUGGGGAUAACGUCCGGAAACGGGCGCUAAUACCGCAUACGUCCUGAGGGUGAAAGUGGGGGAUCUUCGGACCUCACGCUAUCAGAUGAGCCUAGGUCGGAUUAGCUAGUUGGCGGGGUAAAGGCCUACCAAGGCGACGAUCCGUAACUGGUCUGAGAGGAUGAUCAGUCACACUGGAACUGAGACACGGUCCAGACUCCUACGGGAGGCAGCAGUGGGGAAUAUUGGACAAUGGGCGAAAGCCUGAUCCAGCCAUGCCGCGUGUGUGAAGAAGGUCUUCGGAUUGUAAAGCACUUUAAGUUGGGAGGAAGGGAAGUAAGUUAAUACCUUGAUGUUUUGACGUUACCAACAGAAUAAGCACCGGCUAACUUCGUG
This 484-nucleotide ribosomal RNA is filed under the name uncultured bacterium. RNAcentral's name for it is "partial 16S ribosomal RNA". It matches the Rfam family "Bacterial small subunit ribosomal RNA", at positions 30 to 507 of the family's 1533-position model. The record is from RNAcentral.